AUGGGCGCUGCCCACGACGACGGCGACGGCGACUUCGCCGCCACGCCCGCGCCCGCGCCCGCGCGCGGCCGGGGCGGGGUGUACCAGGUGGCGGGCCUGCGGGUGGAGUUCCCCUACAAGCCGUACGGCACGCAGCUGGCCUUCAUGGGCCGCGUCAUCGCCACGCUCGACCGCGGCCGCCGCCAGGGCCGCUCCCACGCCCUGCUCGAGUCGCCCACCGGCACCGGCAAGUCGCUCUCCCUCCUCUGCGCCGCGCUCGCCUGGCAGCGCCAUUACCCGCUCCGCGCGCCCCCCGCCCCCGCCGCCGCAGACCCCCUCCUCUACGGCGGCGGCUUCGUCCCCGACGACACCCAGCAGCAGCAGCCCACCCCCGGCGUCCCGGAGAAGGCGGCGGCGGCGGCCAAGAAGAAGAACGCGCCGACCAUCUACUACGCCACGAGGACGCACUCUCAGAUCACUCAGGUGGUCCGGGAGCUGCGCAAGACCUCGUACAGAGUGCGCAUGGCCAUCUUGGCCUCAAGGAAGCACUAUUGCGUCAACAAGACUGCAUGCAUGGCUGACUCAAUUGACGAGGAAUGCAAGAGGCUCCUAGAUGACAAAGUUCAAGGAUGCCCAGAAUUCAAGAAUGCACAGAAACUGAGUCGUCAUCCAUCCCUUCAGACCGGUGGCUCCUAUGAAGUUCAUGAUAUUGAGGAUCUUCUUAGGGUCGGACGACAAGUCAAAGGAUGUCCAUACUUUGCUGCGCAAACCAUGGCAGAAGCAGCUCAACUGGUUUUCUGCCCAUAUAACUACCUAAUUAGUCCAAUUGUCAGGAGAGCAAUGGACAUUAAUAUCGCUGGCUCAAUCGUUAUUCUCGAUGAAGCACACAACAUAGAAGACAUAGCACGUGAUUCUGGAAGUGUUGAUGUUGAUGAAGAAUCACUUAACAGUCUCAAGGAAGAACUAGCAAAGUUAGCCACUGAUCAGGCUGUUGGAAAGAUAUACCAACCCUUGCAUGACAUCAUUGAGGGGCUUAGCACUUGGAUUUCUGCUCAGGAGGGUGAUCCACGAGAUAACGAAUUUGACAAUCCUCCUUCAUUUUGGACUGGUGAAAAUGCUGUGAAGGAACUCCAGAAGGCCGGUAUUACUCCUGCAUACUUCCCAAUAUUGCAGGAAUGUGCGACGAAGGCAGUUAAGGCUGCUUCGGAUACUGAGUCAGAGGGAGACCACUUAACUGGUCGUGGUGCUAUGACACUGGAGAGUCUAUUCUCCUCACUGAGUCACUUUUUUGGUAGGAAUGGGCGCCAUUUGUAUGAUUACCAACUUGCUAUCCAACGGUUUGCUCACAGAGAAGGCACUUCUGCCUUUGGAGUGAGAAAUGUGAUGAGUUUGUGGUGCCUCAAUCCUGCUGUUGUUUUUCAAGACAUUGCAGAUCUAACCCAUUCAGUAAUAUUGACAUCUGGCACACUCUCUCCAAUGGGCUCCUUUGCAUCUGAACUCGGUGUACAGUUUGAUGCUUGCAUGGAAGCUCCUCACGUAAUCGAUGCUGAUUCUCAGGUUUUUGCUAGUGUACUGUCAUCUGGCCCAACAACACAUCGAUUGAAUGCCAGCUAUAAAACUGCAGAUGCAUAUUCUUUCCAGGAUGAACUUGGAGCUUCAAUAGAAGAAAUAUGCAGAAUAGUGCCUGGUGGUGCUCUAGUGUUUUUUCCUAGCUAUAAGUUGUUGGACAAACUGAAAGUGCGCUGGUCUCAGACUGGUCAGUGGGCACGAUUGAAUGCUCGAAAACCGGUGUUUGUUGAGCCUAGAGGUAGUACUGAGGAACUCGAGCCUGUCCUAAAUGGAUACUAUAAUGCAAUCCUUGGUAAGGUUCCUCUUAAGAAAGGCAGAGGUGGUGCAAAACAAAUUGUGAAGAAUCGAGUGAGAAAGAAUUCAUCACAGGAAUCUGCUAAAGGAGGAGCUGCUUUUCUUGCAGUUUGCCGUGGCAAGGUAUCUGAAGGAAUUGACUUCUCUGAUGACAAUGCUAGGGUUGUUGUCAUUGUUGGCAUUCCAUUCCCAAAUAUAAAUGAUGUCCAAGUAAAGCUGAAAAAGAAAUAUAAUGAUUCCUACAAAUCAUCAAAGAAUCUUUUGAGUGGGAGUGAAUGGUACUGUCACCAAGCAUUUCGUGCUCUGAAUCAAGCUGCUGGUCGAUGUAUUCGGCAUAAAUUUGACUACGGAGGCAUAAUUUUGAUUGAUGAGCGAUAUCAGGAAGAGAGAAACCUUCUACACAUUUCAAAGUGGCUUAAAAACUCAAUUAAGCAUUAUGGUAGCUUCCAGGAGACAAUGGAUAAGAUGGAGAAGUUUUUUCAGAAGGCUGAGGAGCAUAUUAAGAUCAAACGUCAAGAAAUGUCCACUAAGGAUAAGUUGGAUGACGAUCUACUUACAUCACACGGUGAUAAAAGAAAGUUGCAUUGGCCAGAACCAAAUUUCUCAAAACACUCAGUACUGCAAAGUAAUCAGAAGGGUAAUUUGGAUGACAAUCUACUUACAUCACACGGUGAUAAAAGAAUUCUGCCUUGGCCAAAACCAGAUUUCUCAAAGCAUUCAGUACAGCAAAGUAAUCAGAAGGUAAAGAACAAACGUGGCAGUCUGAAGGUUUCAAACAUUGAUGUUGUGGGAGUAGACCAUGAAAAUUAUGGCAGGCCUUGUAUAUCAUCCGAAGCAUGCCAGGUCUCUUCAAAAUCUUCUGACUUCACAAAGAAAAAAAGCUCCCCUGUACCAGGAAGUCUUUCAACAGCAUGCCAACUCCCUCCAUCGCAUAAAAUUCAGAAUAAUUUGGAAGACGAAUCAGACAUUGGGGGAAAUCAUGCAGUCGAUAUAAAUGUUAUCGACUUGGAAAUUUGCGAUUCUAUGUCUGGGCAUGCAAAGUUAACAAUCUUCACUCCACCAGAAGGCAGGUUGCAAGAGCCUACUUUUGUGGAAGGAACUUCUGCUGAGGAUCCAGUUGCUAGCCCCAGCAAUCGUUCUGAGGUAAAUACCUCCGCAGCGAUGGACAAUACUGAAGAUCAGGUCGUAGGCGUGUCUGCUUCGCUCUCAACAGCUAACAGAAACCAAUCUUGUGUGUCCACAUCAGCGGGUACUCCUGAAAGAACAGCUAAUAGAGGUUAUCAUCUGGAUCAUGAAUCUUCAAUGGACAGAAGCGUAAAUUCUCAGUACCAGAAAAGGAGAAGGUUUAAUAUACCAGUGAGCUGUUGUACUGGCGCAGAGCAUUCCAAUCCUUCUCUGAAUCCUUCUAAUCCUUCAAGCACAUCUUUCUGCAAUACUGAUUGUGCUGUUAGCAUGGCGCCCGGAGAUCUGAAGAGAACUGAUCGUCUGUGUUGUGAAAGUCUGAAAAUGUCCAGGUCUGAAAGAAGUCACAAGGCGGCAGAGUUUGCAUCAAAUAAAUCUGCAGGAACAAGGCUUGAUAUUCGUUGCACCACAUGCAAAACGCCACUUGGAUUACAGAAGGAUGGCUUUCUUGUUUCAUGUUCAUUGGCAUCGCCCUCAAAAUUGUACUUGACAUGUCUUUUGAGACAUGGGCUAUCAACUGUUGGCUUCGCAGAAGAUCUUAUGUCAUCGCCACCAGCUGUGGUAAAUGUUCUUGUAUGUGAUGCUUCUUCACUCAAUCAAGGGAUCCUUAGCAAAUUCUGCAGCGAAGGUUCUGCUCAUCAGUCUGGUGUUUGGUCUGAGAAGGAUGGAUGUGUAUACAAGCCAGUAACAUGUCCUUUCUGCCCUCGUGAAAAUUCUUUUGCCACGGUGCUCGGAGUGCAAGUUCUUGCAGCUGAUGCUUCAAAUCUGGAGUCAUUAAACAAGGUGCUCCUGUUUGCUGAUUGUUUGGAUCUCAAGCAUGAACCAUCAAAUGAACAGGUUGCAAGAGAUCAUACAGUUGCUAGUAACCUCAUGGGGACAGAUGCUAGUAAACCCAUGUCACCCCCACCGGUGAUCGAUCUUGAGAGUUUUGCUUAUAAACCAGUGAAGAAGGAACCUGUGUCACUAAGCACAAGGAGGUCCAAGCUUAGGUUACCUAGCACGGACAGAUCCACAAAACCACAACUGGUGCAUAACGUGGAGGACUCAUAG
RNAcentral lists this ribosomal RNA (4074 nucleotides) under Triticum aestivum (bread wheat). Its description in RNAcentral is "partial small subunit ribosomal RNA". The record is from RNAcentral. Lineage: Eukaryota; Viridiplantae; Streptophyta; Magnoliopsida; Poales; Poaceae.